RNAcentral lists this ribosomal RNA (440 nucleotides) under uncultured bacterium. RNAcentral describes it as "partial 16S ribosomal RNA". It matches the Rfam family "Bacterial small subunit ribosomal RNA", at positions 338 to 795 of the family's 1533-position model. The record is from RNAcentral.
CCUACGGGUGGCAGCAGUGGGGGAUAUUGCACAAUGGGGGAAACCCUGAUGCAGCGACGCCGCGUGUAGGAAGACGGUCCUCUGGAUUGUAAACUACUGUUCCCAGGGACGAAGAUGACGCUACCUGGGGAGGAAGCUCCGGCUAACUACGUGCCAGAAGGCGCGGUAAUACGGAGGGAGCGAGCGUUUUCCGGAAUUACUGGGUGUAACGGGAGCGUAGGCGGGGAUGAAAGGUGGGUGUAAAAUCUACGGGCUAAACUGGUAGUCGCACUCGAAACUGCAGCUCUUGAGUGAAGUAGAGGCAGGCGGAAUUCCUAGUGUAGCGGUGAAAUGCGUAGAUAGUAGGAGGAACACCAGUUGCGAAGGCGGCCUGCUGGGCUUUUACUGACGCUGAGGCUCGAAAGUGUGGGGAGCAAACAGGAUUAGAUACCCCGGUAGUC